GGUUUCCCGGCUGGGCACUUGAAGGCCACACAGACCCGCUUCGUUCCGGCAACGACAGAAUGGCCUGGAGUAAAAUAUUGGGAACCAGAGUGCAUUCGGACACAGGAAACUGGAUCGGAGGACAACAGCUAUGGCGGGAUGGCCGUUGCUGAAGUACCGCAUACA
Long non-coding RNA from Rhipicephalus microplus (southern cattle tick), 165 nucleotides. Lineage: Eukaryota; Metazoa; Arthropoda; Arachnida; Ixodida; Ixodidae. The record is from RefSeq and is a predicted model, not a curated record.